This 214-nucleotide ribosomal RNA is filed under the name Enterobacter cloacae. Its description in RNAcentral is "partial 23S ribosomal RNA". It matches the Rfam family "Bacterial large subunit ribosomal RNA", at positions 1132 to 1345 of the family's 2925-position model. The record is from RNAcentral. Lineage: Bacteria; Pseudomonadati; Pseudomonadota; Gammaproteobacteria; Enterobacterales; Enterobacteriaceae. RNAcentral also lists the same sequence under 3 other names.
GCGUAAUAGCUCACUGGUCGAGUCGGCCUGCGCGGAAGAUGUAACGGGGCUAAACCAUGCACCGAAGCUGCGGCAGCGACACUAUGUGUUGUUGGGUAGGGGAGCGUUCUGUAAGCCGUUGAAGGUGUGCUGUGAGGCAUGCUGGAGGUAUCAGAAGUGCGAAUGCUGACAUAAGUAACGAUAAAGCGGGUGAAAAGCCCGCUCGCCGGAAGAC